Long non-coding RNA from Cervus elaphus (red deer), 117 nucleotides. RefSeq lists it as uncharacterized. NCBI's taxonomy places the organism in Eukaryota, Metazoa, Chordata, Mammalia, Artiodactyla, Cervidae. The transcript has 3 exons. The record is from RefSeq and is a predicted model, not a curated record.
UGCUUCCUAAUUGUGGUGCUAGAGGAGGCUCUUGAGGGUCCCAUGGAAUGCAAGGAGAUCAAACCUGUCAAUCCUAAAGGAAAUCAACCUUGAAUAUUCAUUGGAAGGACUGAUGCU